This 27-nucleotide non-coding RNA is filed under the name Rattus norvegicus (Norway rat). Lineage: Eukaryota; Metazoa; Chordata; Mammalia; Rodentia; Muridae. The record is from RNAcentral.
UAUCUACUCUUGAGUGGAAAGACCAGC